CAGUUCUGAACAAGUCAUAAACUACAUACUCUUCACUUCUGAUAUCUGAUGGCUUAUCAGCCUUCGCAUCUCCAUGUUCAAACUAACUCUCCUUCCUCUUGUAUAUCUGAUCCAUACCCUUGAUAAUUAAAUGAUCCACCACUGUAUCUGUCGGCUUAUGACACAAGUUGCGGUAGUCAAUGCAGGGACACAACAUAUCACUCGGAUGACCCAAUCUCAAAGCUGAUUCUUUCACAAAAGCAAAUGCUCCUUCCUGAUACUCAAGGCUAGCCAUGUAAGUAACAAACAUUUUGAAACUCAUAUCUCAAACACUUUUUACUUAACCAUACAAAUGAAAAUAUAUAGAAAAUCAUACACAUACCUUGGUAGCCAAACCCAAUUCUUGUCCAUUGUUAAAUAAAACAGUGCUCCAGAUCCAAGUGUACGU
RNAcentral lists this long non-coding RNA (427 nucleotides) under Brassica napus (rape). Its description in RNAcentral is "long non-coding RNA (BNAP_LNC001162)". The record is from RNAcentral. Lineage: Eukaryota; Viridiplantae; Streptophyta; Magnoliopsida; Brassicales; Brassicaceae.